GCGCAUUGUACAACUUCAUAAGCUACCGGCGCAUAGCGGAUUGCUGCUCUUAACUGUCACAUUGACGAUCCAAACCCUAUACAAGAAUGGGAGGUAAUGCUCUUGAAAUUCUUGCAUGCGUAUUUACAUUGUAAUUCUUGAAUGAAAAAAUCAAGAACUUGAAGUUAAGGAACUUGAUGGUAGUUUUCAAGAAUGCGUGGGAGUUGCUGGGUUUUUGAGGGGUCUUGUGAAUUUAAGGAGGCACAAAGGUUCUUGAGGAGUUGGUUUUCAACAGCACCUCAAGGCUGGUGCCACCAAGUUUGUAUACCAUGAGGAUGUGGAGGUUUUGUCUUCCCUGGAAGUUCAAUUGAACUUGUUUUCUCUCGAGCUGAUGAAACUGUUGCUUGGCACGACACCUCAGGUGGGUCUAUGAGAUCUUGGAAUUAAAUUUUUAUUUCAUGGUGUUGCUUCUCCAUCUCAUACUGUUAACUUAUUUGUUUAUGAUUUUUGGACUACCAGGAAAAGGAAAAAAAAUAUGUAGGUCGCUUGAAGAUGAAACAGAAUAUUUGAAGUUUAUGUUCUAAUUGCUUUUCACAUUUCAUAUUGUUUCUUACUUCAUUUUUUUCCUUUUAAUUGUGGAUCCUUUUUUUUGCUCUCACAGAACCCAAAAAUGCUCUUUGCAAGCAAUACAAGCAAUCAACUUGAAUAAUGAUCAUUUGAAGUUGUACCUUCUUUUGAAGAAUCAUCUGAAGUUGUACCUUCUUUUGAAGGAUCACCUGGAGUUGUACUUUCUUGUUGGACAACUUCUUGAGUCCCCUACAAAGGAUCGGGGUAAGGUCUAUCUACCAAUGCUAGCUUUUAAUUAUAGGAUAAGGCUGUGAUGAUGACAGAUGAGGUUGUAUAGACCUUCUGCUUUUCUUAUUCUUAUUACUCUCUCUGCUCCGUUUAUAGACUAUGAGGACGUGGAAGUUUUGCAUUCUGUGGGAGUUCAAUAAAACUUGUUUUCUCUCGAGCUGAUUGAACUGUUGCUUGGCACUGCAUCUCAGAUAGAACUACGAGAUUUUAAAAUUAAAUUUCUAUUUCAUGGUGUUUCUUCACCAUCUCAUUCGGCUAACUAAUGCUUGAAGCCUCGACGGAUUUCAAUGCUUUUGAGCUUAUUGUAUUUUUGCUUCAUGAAGUUCAUUUUUUCUCAUUAAACCACCCUUUUGGUGAAACUACACAUCACCUUCCAGUUUUAUAUUUUUAGUACCCUCUCCGGUAUAACUAAAACUGCAAAUAAACAUUUUCUCGCUUGAGCUGAAAAACUAUUACUUGGCAUGGCAUCUCAUGUGGGUGUGUGAGAUUUUGGAGAAAGUUCCGUUUCAUGGUAUUUUUUCUCUGUCCCACAAGGGCGACUAAUGCUUGCAGCCGUUCCAAGUUAAUAAGCUUUAAGGGUAACUUAUGCGGCCAAUACUUGGGUCGGGCAUUGGAGCUACCCUUAUCUUUGCAAGGCAACCCUGUAAGGCAUCUCCAUUUUGCAAGUGAGAUCUGCAGCCAUGCCGAUUGCUUUGUCUUCUUUUGGCUAGUUUUAUAACGAAUUUAAGCGUUAGGAGAAAGAAUUGGCCUAAUGACGCUUGAAGUCUUGUGAAUUCCCUUGUGUUAGGUCAGCCUAUAAAGGCAAGAAUGAGGCAGCAGGGACUAUGGUAUUUCUUAUCAAGGUUGGUUGCCCUUUUCUCUAUGUUUUGCCUAUGAUUCUCCAUUUUUGAAAAACAAACCAACAGCCCUUAAAAAAGAAAGAGAGAGAGAGUACACUUGAGUUCUUGCCUGCAUUCGUUUUAAGAAAAUAUGUUUUUAAGGAAUUCAAAGAAACAAUAGUUUUCAAGAAUGUAUUGACAUGGUACGGAAUUAAAGGAGAUUCAAGAAACCUUUAAUUCUCCUUUUUGCCUGGUUUAAUCUGAGCCUAAGGAGAAAGAAUUACUCAUUUAUUUUUCAUCGCGUAAUAAUCCACAUAUUAUUAUUUACCACAUUGCAGUUUUUAUGUUAUUCUAAUAGCAUAACUAAUACUUCAACAAGUAAUGUCUUCCUCUCUUAUAUUGCAAUUUUGUGACAUUACUGUAGAAAAAAAGACUGAUAUAUAGAGUGCUUUAUCAUGCUUCUUCACUUUGUGAUGGUCUGGUGAAAGUAUAUUUUUGUGUAGAAACUUAGGUCCAUAUCAAAAUAAAUGUGCGUCCCUUUUUACAUAGUCAAGGAUUAUGAUUUUUUUUUUGAUUCUUGCAUUUAUCUUCGUUGAGCAUUAUAGUAAUUGUGAUUUUCUUCAGCAUGCUGAAGAUGAGUGAAUUCGUUUGGAAGAAUUACGUGAGAAGGCAAUGAUUGUCUAAAAAUUCAUUGAAAUGUAAUUUCGACUUGGAGUCUGUACUUUAUUGUAUUAUCAGGUCCUCUCUUGAAAAAUCAGGACAAGAACCUAUCUUGAUUCUGAGCAAGAAUUGGUAUCUUCAUUUUGAUAGUAGGUAACAUGGUUUGGAGUCUGGUGGGGAAGUUUUGAAACUCUUUAUGAUAGGUAACAUUGAUUUUGAUUUUUGAGUCUUUGACCACUCUUUUUUAGUUCAUGCCUGAAAUAGCAAUUGCUACUCAUUUAUGCUGAUCAAAUUCUAAAUUGGUGUUGGGGGAUCUGCAAUAAUCAUUCUCAAGCUUCAAGAUCAUUUACCAGGAACUUAAAUCUGAUCCAGAGGCAGCUAACAUCUGUCAUGCUUUUUGCGGUUCUGUGAAUUUUGUGUGUUAAUCUAACUGCUGUGGAUCUGUUAGAAUUUAUUCAACAGUUCUCUGAAGAAUGUAUUUGCAACCCACAGCUUGCUGAUACUGAUGGAUCAUCAAUAGUGCCCCUAUUAGUGAAUAAACAAGACCUGCGGUGUAAGUUAUUAUUUAAUUUGUGAAUUUGGAGCUAUCAUGAUGCUCUCUCGCCUCCAACUACCCCCACAUAUGAAAAAGAGAGAACAGGGAAGUAGAAUCUGAAGUUAUUUAAGAUAUUUUUCUUUAUUCUUGUUGCCUUCGUUUUCAUUUUAUAAUGGAACAAUAACUCUGAUAUGGACAAAGUGGAACAAAUACAGAGGAAUGAGAAUUGUGCAUCUUCUCUGUCUCAUAAAGCUAACUAAUGCUUGCAGCCAUGUCAGAUUUGAAAGCUUUUGAGUUGAUUCGUGUUUUGGCUUGGUAGAGACCAAUUUCCUUCCCCCCUAACCCAAACCGCCCUUUUCGUGAAACUACACGACUUCCCACUUUUGUUAUUCGUUUUUCUACUCUUUCUGCUUAGUUUAUGAACCAUGAGUAUAUGGAAGUCUUGUCUUCCAUGGAAGUUCAAUAAAGCUUGUUUUCUCUCGAACUGAAUGAAUCACUGAUCAAAGAGCGAGCAGCCGCCAGGUUUAGUGAUAUUACAUAUGACCUUACAUUUUUCUUAUUUUUAGUACUAUCUCCGGUAUAACUCAAAAUGGAAAAUCAAACAUGUUCUCUAUUGAGCUGUAAAAUUGUUGCUUGGCAUGGCAUCUCAUGGGGAUUUCUGAGAUUAUGGAGAAAGUUCCAUUUCAUGGUGUUUUGAUCUUUGUCUCACAUGGCUAACUAAUGCUUGCAGUCGUGAUAGGUUUCUAAGCCUUAGAGCUGAUUCGUGCAUUGUGUUGAGUUUCUUUCCCACCCCUCAUCGAACCACCCUUCGUGAUUGCGCAUGCAGUCCCUCUUUUUUUAUUCCUAGUGUUGACUUUUCUCUUUUCGUGGUAUUCACAAAUACAUAUUUUAAGGAAAUGAAGAAUUCUUGCAUGAAUGCUUGAUAUAAAAAUCAAGAAAUUGUUGGCGAAUUAUAAGGAAAUCAAAGAAAUCGUAGUUUUCAAGAAUAUAUUGGCAUUGCACAUCAUAAAGGAAACUUACGAAAUCUUUUUUUUUUUUUAAAAUUAUGUUGUUAUUCUUGCAAUCUGUGUUAAGGAUGUUCAAGAAUUUGUUUUUACCUUUUUUAGUUUGAUUGGGAGCAUUAAGCGAAUGCCUCCGGCUAUUUGGAGCUUAACCCAGUUUCCACCAGGUAUGUGUUGCUACAGGCAUUGGGACCUGCUAUGGUAAGGUGGAUGGCAAUGGGGUAAGCAUUACUCGUGCAGUAACUUUUGUUCAAUUUAUUAUAUAUUACUUCAUCAUCUGAAGUUGUACUUUCUUUCGAAGGAUCAUCUCAAGUUGCACUUUCUUUUGAAGAAUCAUCUGAUUCUGAAGUUGUACUUUCUUUCAAAGAAUCAUCUCAAGUUGCACUUUCUUUUGAAGAAUCAUCUUAUGUUUAUUUCUUUUGAUGGAUCAUCUGAAGCUGCACUUUCUUUUGAAGGAUCACCUGAAGUUGUACUUUCUUGUUGGGCAACUUCUCGAGUCCUCACAAAGGACAGGGUAAGGAUCCACCAAUGUUAGCUUUUAAUUAUAGGAUAAGGCUGUGAUGAUGACAAAUGAAGUUGUAUAGGGUUGGGUCUAGCAUUGGAGCUACCCUUAUCUUGGGGAGGCAACCCGUUAAGGCAUCUCCGUUUUGCAGCUGAGGUCUGCAGCCAUUGCACUUGUCUACUUUUGCCUGGUUAAAUCUGAGCCUUAGGAGAAAGAAUUAACUGAAAGACACUUGAAGUCUUGUGAAUAUCCUUCUGUUAGGUUAGCCUAAAAAGCCAAGAAUGAGGCAGCAGAGACCAUGGUAUUUCUAUCAAGGGUGGUUUCCUUCUCUUUAAACUUUUCCUAUGAGUACAUUUUUUAAAACAAAUCAACAGCUCUUAAAAAUGAAAGAGAAAUAGAGAAUACACUUGAGUUUCUGGGUUCUUUGCAUUUUUGCAUUCUUAGACGUAUGCUCAUAAGGCAAUACACACAACUAUACUACAACAGCUUGACUCUGAAAAUUAUUAAAGAGGCAGUGAUGAUUUUUGGGCUAACUAAAUUCGGGCAUUGAGAUUACUCAACCCGUAUCAUUGAGGGGAAACCUGGUAUGGCCUGUAAUUGAGACGCAUAAAUCACACAUGCAAUCGUGUAUUCCAGCCAUGGCGUGGUAUGCUUCUCUUUGGCCUUACAUAACACAAAUCUGAGCCUCAAUUUGCUAAAGAGAAGGGAAAAGGGUCAAAUUUACCUCUUUUUAUGCACAAGGGGAAAUAUCAAUUCCAUGAUUAAUGUGGGAGAUAUUGAACCCAGGAACGUCCUUCUGAUUAGCAAUUUUGAUGCUUUUCAUUCGUAAUGUGUCGUCAUCUUUUGAUAAGUACCAGCUCAAGAAUGAGGCAUUCGAACGAAAUGUUGGAUUAUAGAGGGGUGGUUGCCUCCCUCCUCUUGUAAACCCUAAUUAUAUUUUUGAAGUACUGCAUUUCUAUGCAUCUUUUAUAGCUUCAACGUUUAGAUUCCUCCCACUGAUGGAUAUAUGUCUGCUAAAUGUGGAAAAAAAACAUGACAAUCACUUCUUCUCAGGCUGGUUAUUCCAUUUUUAGGUAUCAAUAGCACUGUUUAUAUCAGUUCUGUGUUCCAUCUUGUUGAAACCAAGAAGGAUUUUUGAGGGUUUAACCCUUUGAAGUGUCAUUGUUGUGUAUUCUCUCUUAAGGUCCAUUUUAUGUUUUAUUUGGGUUGAUUAUAGCCAGUGAAUUAUGAAUUGUAACUUUAAGGGAAGAUCUUUUUUGUUCAAACAUUCAAAUGAGAGGCUCUGAUAUCUAUUUUUGACGUUUCUUUGUUGGAAAUUGUUACUAAUACUCAUUGGAGGCCAAACGGACAUUGUAAGAUUUUGAAGGUUAAAUUUCUUUGAGUUUUAGUUGGUAGUAUUCAUUAAGAUAGCUUUCAAACAAAUACCCCAGUCUUUGUUCUUGCCAUUGUUUACAGGAUGACAAGUGUUUGUACCUUGGAAUUUGAUGAUUGUACACAAUAUAUUGGCACAGGAUACCUGAUACGUGCUGGUUUCGUCUUCUGAGGUAUCCGGUGCUUCUGAGCUCAUCAUUAUUUGGCUUUGCACAGCUCAAUUUUUUUCACUCACCAAACCACCCUUUUGGUGAAAUUAGACGACCUUCCAUUUUCCAUAUUUUUAGUACUCUUUCCGGUAUAACUCAAAAGGGCAAUCAAACAUGUUCUCUCUUGAGCUGAAUAGUUGUUGCUUUGCAUGGCAUCUCAUGUGGGUAUGUGAUUGAAGAAAAACUUAUUGGUGUUCUUUCUAUCUCUAAAAGCUAACUAAUGCUUGCACCCAUGACAUGUUUCUAAGCUUUUAAGCUGAUUCAUGUUUUGAGUUGAGUUUCUUUCCCAUCUCUCACCGGACCACCCCUUUCGUGAUAUUACACAUGCACUUCCUCUUUUCUUGUUAUUAUUACUCACUCUACUUUGUUUAAUACACAAUGAGGAUUUGGAGGUUUUCAUCUAUUGAUGUUCAAUCAAACAUAUCUCAUGUCGAACUAAGAAACUGUUGCUUGGCACGGCACUUCAGGCGGGUCUAUGAGAUUUUGGGAAAUGUUCCUUUUUUGGGAUUGCAUGCAUUACUCAACUAAUAGGCUGUUUGACGGUUUUGUUCAUUAUCUUACUAAUAUCUUUUUUUUUUUAAGAUGUUCUUUAUUUAUUAUUUUGUGGUUUUACUUGUAAUUGGGAGAACUGGUACGACUGUACACAACACAAAACAUUAACGCUUACAUUUUAUUGCAAGAUGUUUAUGUAUAUCACAUUCCUGGUACUUCAUUUCCGAUAAAAUACUACCGUGUCUAAAAAAAAUAGGGAAGGGCCGGAGGGGUGUACACACACUCAGAUACAUACAAAGAGAGAUGAAAUAUAGUUUUGUUGCUCACUAAUGUAUGUAGAAUGAAGUAUGGUUGGGACAUACAUUUUGGUGCGUAGGUACUUCUAGCCCAGCUUAUGGAGAGAAUAUGUGCCUGUUUCUUUCAUCUUCUGUUACGUUUCCUUUUUGUCUGGCCAUUUUAUCUUAUGGUUUUGAAUGCUUGCUUUACACCCGUGAUGUUGAAAAUACACCAUUCAGAUGAUAUGCAUGCUUUCCCAGCAAGCUUUGAUUGAAAAGGAGAGGCUCUAAGCUCUUAUAUUUCUAACGUUUCUUUAUUGGACAUUGGUAGUUAAACUCACGGGAGGCCAAAUGGAUAUUGUAAGGUUUUAAAGGUACAAUUCUUUUGAGUUCUAGUUUCAGUAUCCAUUAGGAUAUGUAUGAAACUACUAACUUGGCCUUUGUUCUUGCCAUUCUUUACAAGAUGACAGCAAGUGUUUAUACCUUGAUUAUUGUAGACAAAAUAAUUGUACAACAGGUAAUCUGCAUAUAAGACUACCUGAUACAUGAGUUGACUGUUGUUUACUGAUGAAGGAAAUUUCUAGGGAUUUCUCUUUGCAGUCAUUGUUCGUGAUGCUAUUACAACCAACCAGUUCGAAGGAAGCAAAUGUACUCGAAGUACUUCUAGUUUCUGACAAACAAAUAUAAAAUAUUGAAUUACACACAUUACUUUCUAAAGCUGUACUAUUUCUUGAUUGAUCUUUUUGUUUGCAUAUAUAAUCUGAAAGGCCAAAGGGUGUUGCAUUCUAUGAAAGAGUCUCUGCUAAGAAUCACCUCUGUGCUUUCCAAUGUCUCCUUCAAAAUUUCCAUUUUUGUUAUUUUUCGUACUCUUUCCGGUAUAACUCAAAAUGGCGAUCAAACAUGUUCUCUAUUGAGCUGACAAACUUGUGCUUGUUAUGACAUCUCAUGUCGGUCUGUGAUACUUUGGAGAAAGUUUCAUUUUAUGGUGUUUAUUCUCAGUAUUAGAAGGUUGUGGCUAAAUGAUGCUUACAACCAUGAAAGCUUCUAUGCUUUUGAGAUGAUUCAUGUUUUGACCUGACAAUGUUCAGUUCCUUUCCCACCCCUCAUUGAAUCACCCUUUUCGUGAUAUUGCACAUGCACUCCCUCUUUUGUUGUUCUUAGAACUCACUCUGCUCCGUUUUAUAUACAUUGAAGAUUUAGAGGUUUUCAUCUGUCGAUGUUCAAUCAAACAUAUUGCCUGUCCGGAUAAAGAAUUGUUGCUUGGCGCGACACUUCAAGUGGGUCUAUGAGAUAUUUUGAGAAGUUACAUUUUUUGGUCUUUCUUCUCUGUCUCAUAGGCAAACUGAUGCUUGCAGCCAUGCUGGGUUUCAAAAAUUUUGAGCUAAUCUGUUUGGGCAUCGCAAAUUCAAUUCAUUUGUCGGUAAAUCACCCUUUUUGUUGAACUACACAACCUUCUACUUUUUUUGUUCUUAUAUUUCUCUCUUGUAUAACUGAAGAAAAAUCAAUUUAGCAUGUUCUCUCUUGAGCUGAAAACUGUUGAUUGGCAUGGCAGCUCAGGUGGCUAUAUUAGAUUUAGGAGAAAGUUUCCUUUCAUGGUGCAUCUUCUCCGUCUCUUGAGGCUUACUGAGCCAUGUCAGGCCGAUGCUCGCAGCCAUUGUAGGUGUCAAAGCUUUUGAGCUAAUCAUGUUUGGGUGUCGCAAAGUUCAAUAUUUUUAUCGCUAAAUCAUCCUUUUUUUGAAACUACACAACCAUCUUCUUUCUUGUUCUUAUUACUCUAUUGUAUUACUCAAACAAGGCAAUUUAAUAUCUCUCUUGAGCUGAAAUACUGUUGCGUGGCAUCACAUCUCAUGUGGGUCAUGAGAUUUUGGAAGAAAGUUCCAUUUCAUGAUGCAUCUUCUUUGUAUCAUAAGGCUAUAACUGAUGCUUGCAGCCAUGACAGAUUUUAAAGCAUUUGAGUUGGUUUGUGUUUUGGCUUAGCAAAAUUCAGUUUCCUCCCCCGCUCCCCCAAACAACUCUUUUCGUGAAAUCACACAUGACCUUCCUCUUUUUUUUAAAAAAAAAAAAUUAUUCUCUCUGCUCCGUUUAUAAACCAUGAGGAUGUGGAGGUUGUCUUCCGUGGAAUUUCAAUAAUUCUUGUUUUCUCUCGAGCCCAUUAAAUGAUGCUUGACACCACUCCUCAGGUGGGUCUAUGAGAUUUUGGAAUUAAAUUUCCAUUUUAUGGUGUUUCUUCACCAUCUCACACGGCGAGUUGAUGCUUGUUGGCACGACAGAUUUCAAUGCUUAUGAGCUAAUUGUGUUUGGGUUCGCGAAGUUCAUUUUUUUCUCUUACCUAAUCACCCUUUUGGUGAAAUUGCUCACGUCCGUCCAUUUUUCCAAUUUUUAGUACUUUUUCCGGUAUAACUCAAAAGGGCAAUCAUUUGAGCUGAAAAACUAUUGCUUGGCAUGGCAUCACAUCGGGAUUUGUGAGACUUUUGAAGAAGUAUUAUUUCUUGGUGUUUUUUCUAUCUCUCAAGGUUAACUAAUGCUUGCAGCCAUGAAAUGUUUCAAUACUUUUGAGUUGAGUUUAUUUCCCAUCCCUCACCGAAAAACCCUUCUUAUUGCACAUGCACUUCCUCUUUUCUUGUUCUUAGUACUCAGUCUGCUCCAUUAUGUACACAAUGAGGAUUUGGAGGUAUUCAUCCAUAAAUGUUCAAUCAAACAUGUCUCGUGACGAAGUAAAGAACUGUUGCUUGGCACAACACUUCGGGCAGGUGUGAGAUUUUGGGAAAUGUUCCAUUUUUUGGUCUUUCUUCUCAGUCUCAUAGGCAAACUGGUGCUUGCAGCCAAGCUGGGUUUCGAAGUAUUUGAGCUAAUCAUGUUUGGGCGUCGCAAAGUUCAAUUUAUUUUGUCGGUAAAUGACCCUUUUUGAGAAAUUACACGACCUUCUAUUUUUCUUGUUCUUAUAUUACUAUCUCUUGUGUAAUUUAAAAAAUUUAAUUUAGCAUCUUCUCUUUUGAGCUGUAAAUCAGUUAAUUGGUGGCAGUUCAGGUGGGUAGAUCAGAUUUAGGAUAAGGUUCCAUUUCAUGGUGCAUUUCUCUGUCUCGUGAGGCUGUCUGAUAUUUAGGAGAAAGAGAGCUGCAGCAGCACAUUUUAGAACUCACCACCUCAAAUACACCGAUCGCCUGUUUUCCUCCCAGAGCCUUCACAGGAUCAGCUCUUAAGAUGCCCAAUUCUAGCCUUCUUUUUAAGAAAAAGAUUUAGAACUUGGUAUCAAGAAAGGAACCUAAACACAUUUUCCCCUGUUCUUAUCUGCUGGAAAAUUCUUGCAAGCCUUAUCUAGAAAAAAUCAAGAAUUUUUCAGGAACUUGGUAUCAAGAACUUUGCUUUUUGAAGUUACAUUGGUAUUCAAAAAUACAUAUUUUCAGGUAAUCAAGAAUUUUUGCAUGAAUGUUCUUUAAAAAAUUCUUGAAUUUGUUGGCAAAUUUUAAGGAUAUUGUAGUUUUCAAGAAUAUAUUGGCAUUGCACAUACAAGAAAUCCUUUUUGAAAAUAUUAUGUUAUUAUUCUUGCAAUGUGUGUUAAGGAUGUUCAACAUUUUUUUUUUACCUUUUUAGUGAGAUUGGUAGCAUUAAGUGAAUACCUCAGGCUAUUUGGAGCUUCACCCAGUUUCCAUCAGGUAUAUGUUGCUAUAGGCAUUGGUACCUGCUAUGGUAUGGUGGAUGGCAAUGGCAAGUGUUAGUUUUUUCGACAUUGAUCUAAUGCACUUUGAUGUGCAGGUCUUUCGAAAACAACCUCUUUUGCUACACGAGGAAGUUGUAAGGUCUGCGUACAUACUCCCUCCUAGACGCCUAGUUGUGGAAUUUCACGGGAACAGAAGUGAGCAGUAAUAUGGUGGAGACAAGUAUUAGAGAAGGACGGGUCCUCAAUCCUGCCAUAAGGAAUAUGAAUGUUGAAGAGAAUAAGCUUAUGGUGGCUAGUUGAUUCUUAAUGUUACUUGUAAGAUUGGGGCCCCAUCCUUGUCUUUAUUGAGGUACUAUCGUGAAUAUCUGGACUAGAAGUAACUCUCGGUGAGAGCAAUUGUACCCGACAUUCUUAUGCAACAUCACUUUGAUGUACUGUAUUUGAUGUUAUUUGUACAUUUGGCAUUGAUCACUCCACAUAUCCUUCCCUGUACGCUGUAGCCCCCAGCCUGCCUCCCUAAAAAGAGGGGGUGGGGGUGGGGUGGACAAAUUGUGGAAGGUUGGUUAGUGGAAGAGAGUUAAGAGUUACUUAUGCACAUGGUGCAAAGCAUUUCAGUGUUAUGCCAUCGUGUAGUUUUAUCACUUUCUUUUCUCUUUAGUUACUUUUGGAUAACCUAGAUAAGAAUUUAGUUGUUGAACUAUCCUCCUCAUCUAUUGCUAUCCCAUUUCGUUCUCCUCUAUUCAGAUAUACCUGUGAAUUAUGAGAUCAGGAAAAAGAGGUGCAGGCCAGAGUUGCGAAGCGAAACUGAACUUCCUUCCCCGCAGCCAAAGAAACUGACUGGAUAGUGCACUGUCAGGAGAGAGAUUUGAUCUACACAGAAUAUUAUGUGGGAAGUGCUUCUGAAAAGCAUGAUCUCGAGUCCAAAUUCCCCUUGUCAGAUCAAAAGUUCAAGUCGGUCAAUCGAUAGCUCUCUUGCUCAUUGCAGAGUCUGUGUGAAUCGGCUAUCCAGAAGCUCUGUGCAACACCUUUCAUCUAUACAGAGGAGAUUUUCUGGAUAAGAAACUCAUUGCUCCAGAUAGAUCCAAACAGUUAUAGCUUGCAGAUCAAGCUUCAUUUAUGCGAUCAGGGAGAGGUUGCUGCAUUGGAGAAGGAAACCAUUUAUGCAAAGCCCUAUGCACAGAAGUCUGACCCCUGAUGGAUCAUCCUUUGAUAGUGAUGAAGAUAUUAAGUUUGAAAAAUGUCUCCUGGAUUGUUAGAAACUUCUCCAACUCAGAUCAAGAGAGAGAGAAGGCAGGUUUGGUUGAUUUGCAUCAUAAUUUCAGAUUCCUGCUGCUCUGUUUUGGUAGGAUCAGCUUGUUCAGGUUUAAUGCAUGGAUAUAGAAGCCAACCAACUGAAGAAAAUUAAACGUGUGUGGCUGUGUUUGUUUGUAAAACAUCACUUACAGUAGUAUCUGAUGGAUGUUUUGGACACUACUUUGGUUAUGGUAUGGAGUACCAGAGGGGCUUUGCAGCUUUGUGGGGUUCUUUGAGGGAUUCCGGGAUGCACAAUUUCACUUCUAAUUGUAACUGUACCCGAAGAGCACGGAAACAUCCACGUGGCAAUACUAUUUAGUUUAGUGCUUUUUAGAAUCAAUUGGAUUAAGUUGGGAGUGGAAACAAAUCUCUACGAGGAAAGAAUGUUUGACGAAGGGAAAUCAGAUGUUAGGCACUGGCCUAUUCAACAACAGGAAACAGAAUGUCUUCAGCUAGACAACACUUAUGUUGGGAGGGGGAGGUCAAGUGAUGAUCUCACUGCAUAUGGACUCAUAUCUGAAUUUUUGAGGUGGUUUAGUUUUAGUGAGUUUAUCUUCACUGAUGAGUAUCAUCUUGUUCAGGUUUGUCUACUGUUUUUGCCUUUGCGAUGUAGUUUCUAGUUCACGUUUUGAUGAUUUAAUCGGCUUUUUCGGAACUCCAACUGUGCUUAGGAGGUUGCUUACCAACUUUAAAAUAGUCAUAUUAUGAUGAAUCCUCAUAGUAUUUGUUGAGAUGAUGUCCUAAUGAAAUUGUCCCUACCAGAGUGAAAUACACCUGACUUUUAAAUGUGGUUUUGAACGAUCGAUUGGAUGGGGAACUUUCGGAGUUCCUUUGUUUUGCUUUUAGGUGCUAUCGUGGAAUCUUAGCUGACAUUAAGAAGGGAAGUAAACUCACUAUAUUCUGUUAAAGGUAUCCUCUUCCAAUAUUUGCCUUUUCUAUCUUUCUUUGAUCCUUUUUUCCUUGUUGACAUCAGUAAAAUCAUCUUUACCCCUCUAGAUUUGGAGCUUGAGGUGCUGCUGCAGCGUGCUAUCAAUUACAUUAUCAAACUUCUUCAAAAAAAUCUCCAUAUUUGCAAAUUCUUUGCACUUAUAGUUUAAAUUGGAAGUACUCUUGAACUUGUAGCUUAUUUUUCAAAUAUCUCAUUUAAGUACCUUGACCCAGUAAAAUUCUACAAUGCUACACUAGUAGGUUUAUACAUGGCUAGCCAACAAAAUUAUGAAGUGUGAGGCUGUGUGUUUGAAAAACGUCAUUAGUCAUUACACCUGUUGUGAAAAGUCUUUUGAGGUUCAACUUGCAUGCAUUUGAGAAUCAUUUAUUUAUGAAUUUUCGACUACCAGGAGAAGGAAAAAAAUAUGCUGCUUGAAGAUGAAAGUGAAUAUUUGAAGUUGAUGUCCUCUUUUGUUUUUUCACAUUUCAUAUUGUUUCUUACUUCGUUUUUUUCCUUUUAAUUGUGGAUCCUUGUUUUUGCUCUCUCAGAACCCAAAAAUGCUCUUUGCAAGAAAUACAAGCAAUCAACUUGAAUAAUGUAAUCUUUUAGCUUAGUGCUGUUUAGCUCUAACGUACGAUAUUUCAUUCCUCUGCAAAAGGAAGUUUAUGUCUUUAUCCCCAACACAUUCACAGGGAAAAAGGGAAAGAGAAGAAGUAGAAACCACUCUUGAUAAAAGAAAAUGAUACUCCAUUCCGAUGCACUGUAUCAAAAUCAGUCAAUUUACUGCAAACAAUUUGUUCUGAUGUUACAGGUCAACUUACAGUUUACCGAGAAUGCACUUCUAGUUAUUGUUGAGGAAGGCAUUGCCAAAAGCACUGGUGCACAAGGCUCAAGAUCUAUACUAAGAAAUUAUUGUGACUGAAGCCAUGUUUGAGGCUGCUGACUUAAAUGUCGAAGCAACUCAGCAAGGGGUUGUCUACAUAGAUGAAGUUGAUGAAUAGCCAAAAAGUUCAAAAAUUAUUAUCUACAUGGAUAUGGAUAAUCGACUUUGAAGUCAUCCUUAUAAUUAGUCACCUGUUUAGGCUGAGACCUUAACAUUUGCAGAGAUGUAUCUGAGGAGGAUGUCCAACAGGCGCUGCUGAAGAUGCUUGAAGGAACUAUUGUAAGUGUACCUGACAAUAGAGCAUGGAAGCUUCCACGUGGCGAUACUAUUCAGAUAUAC
Long non-coding RNA from Solanum pennellii, 13798 nucleotides. RefSeq lists it as uncharacterized. The transcript has 15 exons. Lineage: Eukaryota; Viridiplantae; Streptophyta; Magnoliopsida; Solanales; Solanaceae. The record is from RefSeq and is a predicted model, not a curated record.